This 456-nucleotide ribosomal RNA is filed under the name uncultured organism. RNAcentral describes it as "bacterial SSU rRNA". It matches the Rfam family "Bacterial small subunit ribosomal RNA", at positions 346 to 794 of the family's 1533-position model. The record is from RNAcentral.
GUGCAGCAGGCGAGAAUUUUUCUCAAUGGGGGAAACCCUGAAGGAGCGACGCCGCGUGGAGGAUGAAGGUCUUCGGAUUGUAAACUCCUGUCAUUUGAGAACAAUUGCACGCGAUUAACUGUCGUGUGCUUGAUAGUAUCAGAAGAGGAAGAGACGGCUAACUCUGUGCCAGCAGCCGCGGUAAUACAGAGGUCUCGAGCGUUGUUCGGAUUCAUUGGGCGUAAAGGGUGCGUAGGUGGCGGGGCAAGUCAGGUGUGAAAUCUCGGGGCUCAACCCCGAAACUGCGCUUGAUACUGCUUUUGCUAGAGUAUUGGAGAGGAGAUUAGAAUUUACGGUGUAGCAGUGAAAUGCGUAGAUAUCGUAAGGAAGACCAGUGGCGAAGGCGAAUCUCUGGACAAUUACUGACACUGAGGCACGAAGGCCAGGGGAGCAAACGGGAUUAGAUACCCCUGUAGU